CUCACCGAUUGCGAAGGGAGCUCUCACAAUCUCCAAAUGGGAGCUAGAGUCCUUCCAAUCUAACCUAAACAAAGGUUCUAAACCCAUCAAUUUGGUACAAAAGCCCUCAAAACGGAAAUCCCCAAAUUUAACCCUAAAAUCCAAAAUCUAGGGUUUGAUCUAGUAAAAUCCAACAAAACUAAAUCUAGAGGAAAGGAUCUAGUUACUAACCUCUUAGAAGCUCCAAACUAGGCCCCAAUCCAAAUGGGGUUGAAGAUUCUCCCUCCACAAAGCUCCAAACCUAAGCUCCAAGCUUCAACAAUGGUGGAAAUAGCUCCAAAAUGCAAAAGAGAGGGAAAAACCAUCAAAACCCAAGCAAAAAGGUGAUCAAAACCAAAGGGAGGAGAAGAGGUUCUCCCUACCUUGCUUCUCCACGGUUCCCAGCUCAGGGAGAGCUCCAUGGGGCGUGGGGACACAUAUAAAAGUCCACAAAUGCGAAAAACCCCCUGCAGUUUCGAACAGUUCAAAUACUGCACUGCGUACCGGUACACGGGCCCGCGUACCGGUACACCCUCUACGAAAAUGCCCAGCCCGAGCCUCGGGUUGGCUGAGAAGCGGCCAAAGUCGAUGGCUGUACCGGUACAGCCAUCACUCCCGUACCGGUACACAGCCCUCAGAAGGCAACCCGAGAGCUAACCAAAAAUCUGAUAUUUUCGGGUUUUGGUACACCGUUUCAAACCACAAUUCUCGGGACUCGAACCAUGGGUCGGAACACUGUCUACGACCCUUCAGAAAGUCUGAGAUGGCUCGUCACACAGAUCAAACACUCGAACCUCGCAAUUUGCAAAGGUCCAGUGCGUCACAGUUUAGCAUUCUAAUUGGGACUUGGAAUCAUACUCCAUAUAUUAGACAUGGCAAAUGUAAUAUGUCUUGGACAUAAAUCUCAUUGGACAUAGGAGAUUGCAUUAGGCCAUAAAGUGGCUUCGGACUUGAAUAACUUGUGAGUUAGGGAGCUAAUGUCGUAAUGCGACAUCGAGCUCUUGCUAUGACUGAGCCUAACAAAGUAAUGCCAUAGAGAGGCAAUAGACUUGAAUGAUAUGUGAAUUGUAUGUGCAUAUUAAUAUUAUGAGAAUUAUGCUAAAUUGGUAGUUGCGUUGGAAAGUGUAUGCAUGUAGCAUUAUGAGAACUAUACUACUAUGUUGAUAGUUGCAUACGGACGCAUUGAAACCAUAUGUUAGUGGAUAGAUGCAUGUUAAUAUUUAUAUGCAUUGUGGAAUACAUGCUAGGUACAUAUUAGCAAUGUGAGAUCAUGCUAGAGAGCAUGCGUAUUAACCUAUUAUUGAUAGGGUAAGCUAAUGUCAUAAAGAGGCAUUGGGCUUGGAAUUGGUAUAUUAAGCUAAUGUCAUAAAGCGACAUUGAGUUUGGGACAUGUAUGAACCUAGUAAAUAAUGCCAUAAAGAGGCAUGAAAAUUGGAACAUGCUUGGAUAUAGUAAUGUUCUAGUGUCCUAAAGAGGCACUAGACUUAGUGAAUGUUGGAACUUCACUUUGAGACAUAGACUAGACCCUUGGGGUUACUAGUGGCUAUUCUAUGUUAGAGACAUGAUGACGAGAUCCGUGACAUGAUGACUAUGCUUGCUUGCCAUUUGUGCUCAUUCGCACAUGCUUGUGAGGGUCGCUCCCUACAAGCCGGCACUCCGGAGUUGGCCUUUGCGACGCAGUUCGCGCGUGCGGGAUUGAGACGCCUGUAGGGUCGCGUGGGACAGCCUCAUUCCAGCGUGGGAUGAUGAGCUACCACGGGCAGCUAGGCGGCGAGGCGCCUGUAGGGUCGUGUGGGACAGACUCAUUCCUAGCGUGGAAUGAUGGGCUACCACAGGCAGCUAGGCGGCACAAGCCGGACUACACUUGUGUAGGUCCUAAAACAAGAUUGAACAAUGACAUUAAACUGGUGUAUAACAAUCACUACUAGAUAGGCUUAGUAGUUGGUUUACUUGGACAUGCUUUUAGCAUAGUAUUGGACAUUUGGACAUGUAGUAUACGUGAUAGUAUUACUUGUUGCAUCAUAGCAUACUUGGUAGCCGUGAUAGAACAUAGUAUGUAUGUAUUGGCAUAUUGGAUCAGGAUAGAGUAGAUGUACUCCAUGUUCUUAUCAUAUAUACUUGUGGCAUAGCAGUAUAGCAUUUCUUUAUAUGCUUUUAUUUCCGCAGUUGUUAUUUCAUUUUCUAUAUCUGCUCAUGACUUGGGCCUAGUGGUGCAUUUUGCUAAGGUCAGUAAUUGCCCACUGGGAACUAUAAAUUAUAGUUCUCACGCCCCCUGUUUUAUGUUUUCUUUCAGAGCCUUCCACCCCGGGAGAGGCUCGGGAUCGCGGGAAAGGAAUCGCCUCGAGUUAGCUAGCGAGGAAUUCGACGAUAGGUGGUCUACCUCUCUUCUGAGUUUUGUUUGGAGAGGUUGAGAGACUCGUACCCUUUUUGUAGAGACCACCCCCUAUAUGUAGCUUGAGACUUAUAAUGUAUUAUUUUACGUUUUGCCUUCGUGGUUUAGUUUCCCUUGUUUCUACCUGUUGUUAGAACCUAGCUGUAUACUUGCUCUGAUAUCUUUAGAUACACUCUAUUUGUUGUUCAUUUAUUUGCUAUUGUUGUAGACGCCUUAUAUGUGUAGGCAUAUGGCGGGUCUGGACACGCACCGGGCGGGCCUAGGGCGAGUCCCGGGGCGUGACAAAACUAAAUUAAGGGGUGGAGAAUGUAACAUAUAACAUCCCUCAUAAAUCGUGCCGAGUUCCGUCAAAACGAGCGGAACGCGGAGAUGAAUGAGUUUGAGUGGACCCUAAGCACAUUAGAGUCCAUAAGUGAGGCUAAAAGGGGACCCGAGAGAGUAAUCUGGAAAUCUGGCUAAGUCCCAGAUUUUGUGCUCUCGGGGACCGGUCCCCGUACGCGUAGCCUGCCAGGAAGUCCCAAGGCAACCGGUCCCUGGUUGGGGAGACCGGUCCUCGGGAGACCGGUCCCUGAAGGGGCAGACCGGUCCCUCGCUGCGCAACAGCCGAAAAACUCAAAAAUUCGGCUAAGUCCUGGAACACCCAUGUUCGGGAACCGGUCCCUGGUCGGGGAGACCGGUCCCCGAAGGCGAAAAAUGCCCAGUCAGGGCAGUUCAAGCGGAAUCAAGUGGAGGGGCUUAAGUGCAAUUGUUACAACACUAUAUAUGACUCAUCCCCUCUCUCCCACAGCCAUUUUCACCCUUCUCUUCCAUUUCCUCUCUUUCUCUCUCAAGAACUCUUGCUCUAGGGCUUGGGGAAGAAGAAGAAGAAGCAAAGGGAAGGUGGAUUUGGAGGCUUUGGUGGGUUCUACAAG
This 3321-nucleotide long non-coding RNA is filed under the name Ananas comosus (pineapple). RNAcentral describes it as "long non-coding RNA (ACOM_LNC038141)". The record is from RNAcentral. Lineage: Eukaryota; Viridiplantae; Streptophyta; Magnoliopsida; Poales; Bromeliaceae.